This 1346-nucleotide ribosomal RNA is filed under the name uncultured bacterium. RNAcentral's name for it is "partial 16S ribosomal RNA". It matches the Rfam family "Bacterial small subunit ribosomal RNA", at positions 28 to 1381 of the family's 1533-position model. The record is from RNAcentral.
GACGAACGCUGGCGGCGUGCUUAACACAUGCAAGUCGAACGGGAAGGCCCUGCUUUUGUGGGGUGCUCGAGUGGCGAACGGGUGGGUAACACGUGAGUAACCUGCCCUUGACUUUGGGAUAACUUCAGGAAACUGGGGCUAAUACCGGAUAGGAGCUCCUGCUGCAUGGUGGGGGUUGGAAAGUUUCGGCGGUUGGGGAUGGACUCGCGGCUUAUCAGCUUGUUGGUGGGGUAGUGGCUUACCAAGGCUUUGACGGGUAGCCGGCCUGAGAGGGUGACCGGCCACAUUGGGACUGAGAUACGGCCCAGACUCCUACGGGAGGCAGCAGUGGGGAAUAUUGCACAAUGGGCGGAAGCCUGAUGCAGCAACGCCGCGUGCGGGAUGACGGCCUUCGGGUUGUAAACCGCUUCCGCCUGUGACGAAGCGUGAGUGACGGUAAUGGGUAAAGAAGCACCGGCUAACUACGUGCCAGCAGCCGCGGUGAUACGUAGGGUGCGAGCGUUGUCCGGAUUUAUUGGGCGUAAAGGGCUCGUAGGUGGUUGAUCGCGUCGGAAGUGUAAUCUUGGGGCUUAACCCUGAGCGUGCUUUCGAUACGGGUUGACUUGAGGAAGGUAGGGGAGAAUGGAAUUCCUGGUGGAGCGGUGGAAUGCGCAGAUAUCAGGAGGAACACCAGUGGCGAAGGCGGUUCUCUGGGCCUUUCCUGACGCUGAGGAGCGAAAGCGUGGGGAGCGAACAGGCUUAGAUACCCUGGUAGUCCACGCUGUAAACGGUGGGUACUAGGUGUGGGGUCCAUUCCACGGGUUCCGUGCCGUAGCUAACGCUUUAAGUACCCCGCCUGGGGAGUACGGCCGCAAGGCUAAAACUCAAAGGAAUUGACGGGGCCCCGCACAAGCGGCGGAGCAUGCGGAUUAAUUCGAUGCAACGCGUAGAACCUUACCUGGGUUUGACAUGGAUCGGGAGUGCUCAGAGAUGGGUGUGCCUCUUUUGGGGUCGGUUCACAGGUGGUGCAUGGCUGUCGUCAGCUCGUGUCGUGAGAUGUUGGGUUAAGUCCCGCAACGAGCGCAACCCUUGUUCACUGUUGCCAGCACGUUAUGGUGGGGACUCAGUGGAGACCGCCGGGGUCAACUCGGAGGAAGGUGGGGAUGACGUCAAGUCAUCAUGCCCCUUAUGUCCAGGGCUUCACGCAUGCUACAAUGGCUGGUACAGAGAGUGGCGAGCCUGUGAGGGUGAGCGAAUCUCGGAAAGCCGGUCUCAGUUCGGAUUGGGGUCUGCAACUCGACCUCAUGAAGUCGGAGUCGCUAGUAAUCGCAGAUCAGCAACGCUGCGGUGAAUACGUUCCCGGGGCU